Molecule: long non-coding RNA, 621 nt
Filed under: Sander lucioperca (pikeperch)
Lineage: Eukaryota; Metazoa; Chordata; Actinopteri; Perciformes; Percidae
Description: lncRNA (ENSSLUG00000026009.1)
Source: RNAcentral
CGCAAGAAGAAGAGGAAGAGGAUUUUUAUAACGGCGAAGAAUACAGUUAUGAAUACGAGGAAGAACUUUCCCCAGAUUAUCCUGCGACCUCUCAGGAGAGGAAGGACAACAGACAGCUUGAAGUUCAAACAGAUGCAAUUCCCCAUCCAAUGGAUAAAAAGGAGGAACAAUUACCCACACACAGUCCUGCCCAGUUAGAAACGUUGACGGGAACCUCCAGUUAUCCUCUAACAUCCUCCACAAACAAACAAAUAGAUGCAGAGGAUGAAGUUUCACUUCCUACACCUCCCAUCACAACAGAAGAACCAGACAAGGAUGUCUCUUAAGUCCCAAGAGACUGUGACUAUAGGGUGUUAAGCAUUCAUAAGAUAGCACACACUACAUGGAGCGUGUGAAUAAACUGUGAACUGUUUUGCUGAUGAGGAGCCCUGAACCUGAGGAAGGACUUCUUUCUACACAGACGAAGUCACUGACCCAAAGCUAUGGCCAAAGUUCAUAUCUUGUAUGAUGGCUUUUAUUUUGAGUAGCACUCUAUAGAAAAUCAGGCACUGCUGUUAAAUUAUCAGAAUUGUUUCCUCAUGUCUGGGUUAUUUUCAUUCUUCACUUUGUUUAAUGUAAACC